CAUUAGGUGGCUGAAAGUAAGCACAGGUCUCUUAAACCUUAUAAUAGUAACGUAACAUUUACUUCUAAUGG
This 71-nucleotide transfer RNA is filed under the name Maladera orientalis. Its description in RNAcentral is "tRNA-Lys". Lineage: Eukaryota; Metazoa; Arthropoda; Insecta; Coleoptera; Scarabaeidae. The record is from RNAcentral.